GUUCGGAUUGAAGGCUGAAAUUCGCCUUCAUGAAGCUGGAAUUGCUAGUAAUGGCAGGUCAGCAUACUGCCGUGAAUACGUUCCCGGGCCUUGUACACACCGCCCGUCACACCAUGAGAGUUGGGAAUACCCGAAGCCUGUGAGCUAACUUUUAGAGGCAGCAGUCGAAGGUAGAAUCAAUGAUUGGGGUGAAGUCGUAACAAGGUACC
RNAcentral lists this ribosomal RNA (209 nucleotides) under uncultured bacterium. Its description in RNAcentral is "partial 16S ribosomal RNA". It matches the Rfam family "Bacterial small subunit ribosomal RNA", at positions 1291 to 1500 of the family's 1533-position model. The record is from RNAcentral.